This 2110-nucleotide long non-coding RNA is filed under the name Homo sapiens (human). Its description in RNAcentral is "HSALNT0013463". The record is from RNAcentral. Lineage: Eukaryota; Metazoa; Chordata; Mammalia; Primates; Hominidae.
AACAACCCAAACACACAAACAAUAGCCAUGUUUGCAAGGGUUUGGCAGAUGAGUGACUGUUACCUGAGUAACCUGAGGUUGGGAGUUCGAGACCAUCCUAACCAACAUGGUGAAACCCCAUCUCUACUAAAUACAAAGAUUUUGCUAGUGUCUCCUGUCACACUUCUCCCCUCAGUCUCCAACUUUUUCACCUAUAAGUCCCUCUCCCAACUCUUUUCAGCUUUUGCUGCUUAUUCCUCUAUCUCACGGGUUUUGCACAGAACCAAGAGGCAGUCUCUCCACUGAAGCACUAGUUGGAGAAGAAGGCUAGCUACAUGAGGAAAGAAAACCAGCCAAUUGUACCUGCCUUCAGGAACUGACUGCUUACUUCCUGCUCAAAGAGGACCUAGAGGCAGGAGGGUAGAAGCAUCAAGUUUAAAUAAAUUUCUACAAUUUUAAUUCCUGAAUUGAAACUGUAUUUGUGAUUCUAAAGGAUGUAGCAUAUGUACUACCUACGAGUGAUGAGAGAAGUAAUGAGAUCUGGAAGGCUGAAUAAUGGCCUCCUAAAGAUGUCCACAUCUUAAUCCUUGGAACCUGUGAAUAUGUUACUUGAAUGGCAAAAGAGACUUUGUAGAUACAAUGUAGUCAAGAAUUUUGACUUGGAGAAAUUAUCCUGGAUUAACAAGCAUGGCCCAAUAUAAUUGCUGGGGUCCUUAUGAAAGUUAUGUAGGAGGGUCAUAGACACAAAAGGCAAUGUGAUUGCAGAAGAAGAGGGACAGCAAGAGGUGGAAAGAUGCUAUGCUGCUGGAUUUGAAGAUGGAGGAUGGGACCACAAGCCAAGGAAUUUAUGCAGCCUCUAGACUCUAGAAAAGGGCAAGAAAACAGAUUUUCUCCUAGAACAUCCAAAAGGAACACACCCCUGCAGACCUGUUUUAGGACUUCUGACCUCCAGAACUGUAAGAUAGUAUAUAUGUGUGGUUUUAAGCCACCAUAUGUUUGGUAAGUUUUUAAAGCAGCAAUAGUAAACUAAUACAUGCGAUUUGCUCAAGUUUUCAUGAAGAUGCAAGGGAAAAGCCUUAUUGACUAAAAUUAAAUGAACAGGAGGAAACAAAGGGAAAAAGGCUAUUUUGUGAUUUUGUAUCUCACAAGGCAAGUUUGUUUAAUGUAAUAGGUGCACUUUGUCAUCUCCAUUAGUAUUCACAAUAACUUUGUGAUUAGCUAUUACAGUUCUCAUUUUAAAAUGGAGAAACUGAACAUCAGAAGUUAAGAAACUUGCCUAAGGUGACACAGUCGGCAAGUGAGACCAAAAUAGGGAAAGAACCUGCACUACUGGUGGUGCCCCUGCUGGUACAAGCACUCUCUCAUCAACCUGGCUCCAAAGCCCAUCCCUUUGUCAUUGCACUAUGCCAUCUUUUAGGUGUUAUAUCCCAGUAAACCCAUUGUUAAGUUGAAAAUAUUGUAAGUCAAAACUGCAUUUAAUAUACCUAACCUUCUGAACAUCAUAUCUUAGCCUAGCCUACCUUAAAUGUGCUCAAAACAUUUAUAUUACCCUACAGUUGGGCAAAACCUUAUAACACAAAGCAUAUUUUAUAAUAAAAUGUUAAAUAUUGCAUGUAAUUUAUUGAAUACUACACUGAAAGUGAAAAACAGAAUAGUAAUAUGGGUACUCAAGUAUAGUUUCUGUGAGUAACGCUUCUGCACCAUUGUAAAGUUGAAAAAUAGUCAAAGCAUUGUCGAGUCUAGCACUGUCUGUUUAUGUAAUGUGGGUACAAGGAAACUCUGGGGAACGCUGGAUAUGCUCAUGAUCUUGAUUGCAGUGAUGGGUUGCUGGCUGUAUACAUGAUUGAAACAUUUCAAAUUGAACAUUUUAAAUGUGUACAUCUUAUUAUAUGUCAAUUAUACCUCAAUAAAGCUGAAAUAGGAGAAAAAGAUAUAUUCAAAGAUAUGUUCAACAAUAGUCCUUCUGUCUCCUCCUUUCCCUGCCCUAUGGUCUCUCCCUCAGCCACCCCAUCUCUGGAUUGACAGCCCAGUCUGAGCUGUGUACUGGCUCUCUUCCCAGUCUUUUCCCCGUAGGGGAUCCCUGUCUUAGUAACUGUCUCCCUUCAGCUACAGCAGCAGGGACCUUGCCAGA